CUGUGGGGGGCACAGAAGGUCAUUUCCUCCUGCCCUUCCCAUGUCACUGGCUGUGAGGGCCUCCAUGGUGGGUCCAGUGCAAGGACCUAACACAAUUGUGAUCUGCAUGGUCAUCUUACUGAACAUUGGUCUGGCCAUCCUAUUUGUACAUUUUUUGACAUGAGGUCCCCCUCGGACAAGUCGGUUGUGCACCUCUGUGUAUUCUGAAGUCUCACAGCACAGGACUGGGUGGGAAAACCUGAGAGACUGGAAAGAACGUGGAAGCGAUGGUCGAGGGAAAAAACAGAUGGCCAGUCUGCUCCAAAGGUCAGUCUGAAAGGAUUUCAGAGGCGAAUGGCAGACAGGCAGGAGUUUACACUGACUGGAGACACAGGGC
This 376-nucleotide long non-coding RNA is filed under the name Gallus gallus (chicken). RNAcentral's name for it is "lncRNA (ENSGALG00010000122.1)". The record is from RNAcentral. Lineage: Eukaryota; Metazoa; Chordata; Aves; Galliformes; Phasianidae.